Molecule: ribosomal RNA, 515 nt
Filed under: uncultured Sphingobacterium sp.
Lineage: Bacteria; Pseudomonadati; Bacteroidota; Sphingobacteriia; Sphingobacteriales; Sphingobacteriaceae
Also listed under: 1 other name
Description: bacterial SSU rRNA
Rfam family: Bacterial small subunit ribosomal RNA
Source: RNAcentral
GAGUUUGAUCCUGGCUCAGGAUGAACGCUAGCGGCAGGCUUAAUACAUGCAAGUCGAGAGGCAGCAUGACUGUAGCAAUACAGUUGAUGGCGACCGGCAAACGGGUGCGGAACACGUACAGAACCUUCCUUCGAGCGGGGAAUAGCCCAGAGAAAUUUGGAUUAAUACCCCAUAGUAUAACGGAGUGGCAUCACUUUGUUAUUAAAGAUUUAUCACUUGAAGAUGGCUGUGCGGCUGAUUAGGUAGUUGGCGGGGUAACGGCCCACCAAGCCUACGAUCAGUAACUGGUGUGAGAGCACGACCAGUCACACGGGCACUGAGACACGGGCCCGACUCCUACGGGAGGCAGCAGUAAGGAAUAUUGGUCAAUGGACGAAAGUCUGAACCAGCCAUGCCGCGUGGAGGAUGAAGGCCCUCUGGGUUGUAAACUUCUUUUAUAUGGGACGAAAAAGGCCUUUCUAGGUCACCUGACGGUACCAUAUGAAUAAGCACCGGCUAACUCCGUGCCAGCAGCC